UGACCUCAACUCAGUCGUGAUUACCUGCUGAAUUUAAGCAUAUAACUAAGCAGAGGAAAAGAAACUAACGAGGAUUUCCCUAGUAACGGCGAGUGAAUGGGAAAUAGCCCAGCGCUAAAUCUACUAAUCUUUUUGAUUAGUUAGAAAUGUAGCGUAUAGGUAUAACAAAAUAUUUAGUCGAUUGUUUUAUGCACCCAAAGUCCCCUUGAGUGGGGCCAUGAUCCGUAGAAGGUGCGAGACCUGUACGGGUGAUGAAGCAAUCGAUGCGUUAUACUCUAGAGUCGAGUUGUUUGAGAUUGCAGCUCAAAGAGGGUGGUAGAUUUCAUCUAAGGCUAAAUAUUGCCACGAGACCGAUAGCAAACAAGUACCGUGAGGGAAAGUUGCAAAGAACUUUGAAGAGAGAGUUCAAGAGGACGUGAAACCGCUGAGAUUGAAGCGAAUAGAAUUGACGAAACUCGUUAGCAUUCAACCAAUCGGAUAAACAUUGCUAUAUUGUUGAAUAUAUUUUUUUAUUUUUUGAAAAAAUAUAUUCGUCGUGUACAUUAUGAUAAAAAAUUAGUAAUGACAUCAAUAUAUGCAUAAAUUGUUUAUUAUAUAUAAUUUUAUAUAUAAAGAUUGGUGCUUUUGCUAAUAGUAUGCAUUGAGAAUCUCGUUAACGUAUGAAACGAUUCGAUUGUUCUUGUGGACCGUUUGUCUUUGUUUCAAAGUGAACGAAAUCCAACAAUUGAAUGAUAAUGAAGAGAGAGCAUAUCGUUAAUGAGAGAAAGGUGAUAUCUCAACUGUAGUUUUUCGAGACUAUAGUGUUUCAAGGAUCCUCUUCAUUAACAAUAGCAUUGGAUAAAACGCUUGCGUUUUUAUCUAUGUAAUUUUUUUAUUGUUUUUGUUGAGAUUUUUUGAUGAAACAUUUUUUAAAUAAAUAAAAGAGAUAUAUUCUCGAUGUGAACGUCAAUCACCUAUUCGACCCGUCUUGAAACACGGACCAAGGAGUCUAGCACAUACGCAAGUCAAUAGAUAUAUAAAAUCUAUCGGCAUAAUGAAAGUAAAUGUUG
Dracunculus medinensis (Guinea worm) is the source of this 1049-nucleotide non-coding RNA. The record is from Rfam. Lineage: Eukaryota; Metazoa; Nematoda; Chromadorea; Rhabditida; Dracunculidae.